RNAcentral lists this ribosomal RNA (460 nucleotides) under uncultured archaeon. RNAcentral describes it as "bacterial SSU rRNA". It matches the Rfam family "Archaeal small subunit ribosomal RNA", at positions 385 to 845 of the family's 1478-position model. The record is from RNAcentral.
UGCCACUCUUAACGGGGUGGCUUUUCAGAAGUGUAAAAAGCUUCUGGAAUAAGGGCUGGGCAAGACCGGUGCCAGCCGCCGCGGUAACACCGGCAGCUCAAGUGGUAGCCGCUUUUAUUGGGCCUAAAGCGUCCGUAGCCGGUCUGAUAAGUCUCUGGUGAAAUCCCACAGCUUAACUGUGGGAAUUGCUGGAGAUACUAUCAUGACUCGAGGUCGGGAGAGGCUGGAGGUACUCCCAGGGUAGGGGUGAAAUCCUGUAAUCCUGGGAGGACCACCUGUGGCGAAGGCGUCCAGCUGGAACGAACCUGACGGUGGGGGACGAAAGCCAGGGGCGCGAACCGGAUUAGAUACCCGGGUAGUCCUGGCCGUAAACGAUGUGGACUUGGUGUUGAGAUGGCUUCGAGCUGCCCCAGUGCCGAAGGGAAGCUGUUAAGUCCACCGCCUGGGAAGUACGGCCGCA